AUAGUAUGCUGACUAGGAGGGGUAAUAAAGGGAGAAUGGGGCAAACAUAUUGAAACAGUCAGUCCAGGGUCUCCGGUAAUCUGUCAAGGUCCUGUGGUCAUCUCUCUCCUUGAUAGUCUCACUAGACAGCAGAAAGCUGGGAAUGCUUGUCUGAGAAGCCAGAGAAACCAGGACUUGCCUAAGAACAUCCUGAGAAGCAGUAAUCAGGAAAGUGGUCACGAAACACAAGCCACAGAUUGCUGAAUCCAGUGCAAAGAAGGGAAAAGAUCCCUGCUGCUCCCACCAGAACCAUAGCUUUCCAUUCUGAGAGCUGGGAAUGCUUGUCUGAGAAGCCAGAGAAACCAGGACUUGCCUAAGAACAUCCUGAGAAGCACUUAUCAGGAAAGUGGUCACGAAACACAAGCCACAGACUGCUGAAUCCAGUGCAAAGAAGGGAAAAGAUCCCUGUUGCUCCCACCAGAACCAUAGCUUUCCAAUCUGAGGGCCGCUAAUGGAUGUCUGAGAGGGGAGAGAGGUCCAGAAAUCUACCCAAAGGCAACUCUGAGGAUCAAUUGGCAGAGAAGUGGUGAGGAAAUAGAAGCCACAGACUGCUGAAUCCUGACUCAAAAGAAAGAUAAGACUCCUGCUAGUCCCUCCAGAACAACAGCUUUCCAUUCCAAGGACUCUUGGAGAGAAGACUAAACAGGUGUAAUAAAAGGGCUUUCAGAAACAGCUGCCUGAAAUACAAGGAGAGAUGAGAAAGCCAAAGGAGAAAGCAGUUGAGCACGUUGAUUCCUUUGGAAAAUCCCAAAGAAGAGGGCUGCUAAUGGAUGUCUAAGAGGGGAGAGAAUUCUGGGAAUUUACCCAAAGUUCACCCUGAAAUUCACUUGUCAGAAAAGUCAUCGGGAAACACAAUCAACAGACUGCUGAAUCCAGUCCCAAGGGAAAGAAAUAAUUCCUACUGGUCACCCAGGACUGUGGCUUUCCAUUCUGAGCCUGAAGACAAAGAUGAGGCCUGAAGCAGGAGUCCAGUGCAGUUAUUUGUAAACAUGGGGCCAGGGAUAUGAGAGAGCAUCCUCCCAGGAAGGCUAAAGGCCCUUCUUAAUAGGCCCACCCUUAUUCCUACAAAUACUCUAGUUAACAGAAAUCUAAAAGAAAGCACAAAGCAGAAGGUGUCUCCACUCCAACCUGACAUCUUCCAACCUGCUACCAUGGAUCCAACAAAUGUUGCAGUGCAGCAUGGGAUACUCCCACAUAAACCCCACCCAGCCCCCACCCAGCCACACACCCAGAGAAGACACUGCCAUGCUCACAUGCAAAUUCUUGUUCCCCCAAAUCACUCCAUAAAAUGUUGUCAUCCCCAUCCAUUGGCAGUUACGGUGGCAGAAGCCCAAAGGCGGCCCACAGAGGCACUUUCAGAUACACAUGCCUGACUGAGGCAGAAGAGUCAUGGCAACCCAAGGCAACACAGGCUGGCAAUAUUCAUUCCUAUGGAAUGCGAUGGUGGAAGAGUCAGACAUCUCUCCUCCUCGACUAGUCUGUGAUGUUCUACCAGCCAGAGGGAGAGUGCUUCUCCCCCGACAUGCAAUGAUCAUGGAUAUCUCUCACUCAACUUGUUUCUCUCUGCUUCCACAAAGACUGAAGAAGAGCAAGAAUUAAGAAGCAGGAGCCCAAUUCAAUGUAGCAUUGGGGCUCCGAGUAUAGGAAACAGCUUUCCCUGGAGGGCAAUAAAUACUUCAUCACCACCGAAA
Long non-coding RNA from Monodelphis domestica (gray short-tailed opossum), 1730 nucleotides. RefSeq lists it as uncharacterized. Lineage: Eukaryota; Metazoa; Chordata; Mammalia; Didelphimorphia; Didelphidae. The record is from RefSeq and is a predicted model, not a curated record.